GAAGGCAUGCUGGAGCAAGAAGAAAGAAAAAGAGAAACCCAGUCAAUGCGUGGCUACCAUAUGCUAUGCUAGACAAAAUCACAAGCUUCCUGGAGGACAAGGAUGAACCUCUGGUCCCACACAGGAUUGGACUUGACAUGGAUUUGGGACAGUCUUUAUUGGAGCUUGGAAUGUCACUGUGAUCCACCUUAAUCAGAAGCAGACCAUGGGCAAAUGUGCUGCAACAGGGGUGGACACCCAGCAGGGGCCACCCGGGCUAGCCUGGGAACCUCGCUUGCCUGUAGGCAGUACCCAGGCACGCACACGCACGUACACGCAUAGAUACGUAUUAAUUCUUGAAGCAGUACUUCCUCUUAUUACACCUGAUACACUCUAGUCUUCCCUUUUCUAUUUCUUCCUAUCCCAAUUCAUUCCACUACAUAAAGGCAUGCUGCUCUUGUCUCACUAAAUUGAUUUCAUGCUCCUCUAAUGAGUUGCAACUUUAGUUUCAAAAGCACUGGUCUAUACUUUUCUUUAUAUUGUUUUCCUUUGUAGCACUUACUAUAAUUAUU
Long non-coding RNA from Lontra canadensis (Northern American river otter), 551 nucleotides. RefSeq lists it as uncharacterized. The record is from RefSeq and is a predicted model, not a curated record. The transcript is spliced from 3 exons. NCBI's taxonomy places the organism in Eukaryota, Metazoa, Chordata, Mammalia, Carnivora, Mustelidae.